Molecule: ribosomal RNA, 303 nt
Filed under: uncultured bacterium
Lineage: Bacteria
Description: partial 16S ribosomal RNA
Rfam family: Bacterial small subunit ribosomal RNA
Source: RNAcentral
AGCAGCCGCCGCGGUAAUACAGAGGGUGCGAGCGUUAAUCGGAUUUACUGGGCGUAAAGCGUGCGUAGGCGGCUUCUUAAGUCGGAUGUGAAAUCCCUGAGCUUAACUUAGGAAUUGCAUUCGAUACUGGGAAGCUAGAGUAUGGGAGAGGAUGGUAGAAUUCCAGGUGUAGCGGUGAAAUGCGUAGAGAUCUGGAGGAAUACCGAUGGCGAAGGCAGCCAUCUGGCCUAAUACUGACGCUGAGGUACGAAAGCAUGGGGAGCAAACAGGAUUAGAUACCCCUGUAGUUCCUGUCUCUUAUAC